This 128-nucleotide small RNA is filed under the name Marmota monax (woodchuck). The record is from RNAcentral. Lineage: Eukaryota; Metazoa; Chordata; Mammalia; Rodentia; Sciuridae.
GCUGGGUGCAGUGGUGCAUUCCUGUAAUCCCAGAAACUUGGGAGGCUGAGGCAGGCAGGAUCAUGAGUUCAAGGCCAGCCUCAGCAAUUUAGGAAUGCCCUGAGCAACAGAGAGAGAUCCUGUCUCAA